UACGAAGGGGGCUAGCGUUGUUCGGAUUUACUGGGCGUAAAGCGCACGUAGGCGGAUUGUUAAGUCGGGGGUGAAAUCCUGGAGCUCAACUCCAGAACUGCCUUCGAUACUGGCAAUCUCGAGUCCGGAAGAGGUAAGUGGAACUCCUAGUGUAGAGGUGGAAUUCGUAGAUAUUAGGAAGAACACCAGUGGCGAAGGCGGCUGACUGGUC
RNAcentral lists this ribosomal RNA (211 nucleotides) under uncultured bacterium. RNAcentral describes it as "partial 16S ribosomal RNA". It matches the Rfam family "Bacterial small subunit ribosomal RNA", at positions 524 to 734 of the family's 1533-position model. The record is from RNAcentral.